UGACUAUUGAACUGUAAUUAUUGAGCCUUGUGAGUUGUGCAUUGUAGAACUGCUAGGUUGGGCUGAUUUCUGUGAAAGUUGUAGUAUGAGGAGGUUCGAUUGGAAUGUAAGGGGUAUUCAAUUUCUAGGUAGAUGCCUUGUUUAUUAGGUUGCACUCCUUAUUUCUACACUUGUGUAGGUUCCGAGCCCGGUUUAGCGUGAUCGUCCUUCUUCUCUUACCUUUU
RNAcentral lists this long non-coding RNA (224 nucleotides) under Solanum tuberosum (potato). Its description in RNAcentral is "long non-coding RNA (STUB_LNC001115)". Lineage: Eukaryota; Viridiplantae; Streptophyta; Magnoliopsida; Solanales; Solanaceae. The record is from RNAcentral.